Molecule: ribosomal RNA, 435 nt
Filed under: Micrococcus sp. oral taxon F54
Lineage: Bacteria; Bacillati; Actinomycetota; Actinomycetes; Micrococcales; Micrococcaceae
Description: bacterial SSU rRNA
Rfam family: Bacterial small subunit ribosomal RNA
Source: RNAcentral
GAUGAACGCUGGCGGCGUGCUUAACACAUGCAAGUCGAACGAUAAAGCCCAGCUUGCUGGGUGGAUUAGUGGCGAACGGGUGAGUAACACGUGAGUAACCUGCCCUUGACUCUGGGAUAAGCCCGGGAAACUGGGUCUAAUACCGGAUAGGAGCGCCUGUCGCAUGACGGGUGUUGGAAAGAUUUUUCGGUCAUGGAUGGACUCGCGGCCUAUCAGCUUGUUGGUGAGGUAAUGGCUCACCAAGGCGACGACGGGUAGCCGGCCUGAGAGGGUGACCGGCCACACUGGGACUGAGACACGGCCCAGACUCCUACGGGAGGCAGCAGUGGGGAAUAUUGCACAAUGGGCGGAAGCCUGAUGCAGCGACGCCGCGUGAGGGAUGACGGCCUUCGGGUUGUAAACCUCCUUUUCAAGUAGGGAAAGAAAGCGAAAAGG